RNAcentral lists this long non-coding RNA (266 nucleotides) under Amphimedon queenslandica. RNAcentral describes it as "uncharacterized LOC109582969, transcript variant X2". The record is from RNAcentral. Lineage: Eukaryota; Metazoa; Porifera; Demospongiae; Haplosclerida; Niphatidae.
AGCCUAUAUUGACAAGUAAUUUGGGAAAGGAUCAUAUCCAUUCUCACAACCCCUCCACUGCUGCUGUAGCCUGUUAUAAGAGUACCAAGGAGGAGCCUUGGGAAAUGUCACUGUGCUUUGGUAUUCUGUUGUUAGAGAGAUAGAUAUCAUUACUGAAGAAUCAUGAGUGAUCUUUGGACGCAGUCUCACGACUUGUCCAAUUUAGAAUUCAGAUGACCCUUUAUUUUGUCAGUGUUUGUCAGCAAUUCCUGAUUCAAAAUCAUUUU